RNAcentral lists this ribosomal RNA (497 nucleotides) under uncultured bacterium. Its description in RNAcentral is "partial 16S ribosomal RNA". It matches the Rfam family "Bacterial small subunit ribosomal RNA", at positions 28 to 507 of the family's 1533-position model. The record is from RNAcentral.
GAUGAACGCUGGCGGCGUGCCUAAUACAUGCAAGUCGAGCGAACGGACGAGAAGCUUGCUUUUCUGAUGUUAGCGGCGGACGGGUGAGUAACACGUAGAUAACCUACCUAUAAGACUGGGAUAACUUCGGGAAACCGGAGCUAAUACCGGAUAAUAUUUUGAACCGCAUGGUUCAAAAGUGAAAGACGGUCUUGCUGUCACUUAUAGAUGGAUCCGCGCUGCAUUAGCUAGUUGGUAAGGUAACGGCUUACCAAGGCAACGAUGCAUAGCCGACCUGAGAGGGUGAUCGGCCACACUGGAACUGAGACACGGUCCAGACUCCUACGGGAGGCAGCAGUAGGGAAUCUUCCGCAAUGGGCGAAAGCCUGACGGAGCAACGCCGCGUGAGUGAUGAAGGUCUUCGGAUCGUAAAACUCUGUUAUUAGGGAAGAACAUAUGUGUAAGUAACUGUGCACAUCUUGACGGUACCUAAUCAGAAAGCCACGGCUAACUACGUG